UACGGGGGGGGCAAGCGUUGUUCGGAAUUACUGGGCGUAAAGGGUUCGUAGGCGGCUUGCUAAGUCAGACGUGAAAUCCCUCAGCUUAACUGGGGAACUGCGUCUGAGACUGGUGAGCUUGAGUGCAGGAGAGGAACGCGGAAUUCCAGGUGUAGCGGUGAAAUGCGUAGAUAUCUGGAGGAACACCGGUGGCGAAGGCGGCGUCCUGGACUGGACCUGACGCUCAGGAGCGAAAGCGUGGGGAGCGAUCCGG
RNAcentral lists this ribosomal RNA (253 nucleotides) under uncultured bacterium. RNAcentral describes it as "partial 16S ribosomal RNA". It matches the Rfam family "Bacterial small subunit ribosomal RNA", at positions 524 to 776 of the family's 1533-position model. The record is from RNAcentral.